UUACAGAGUUUUCUAACUCCCAAACCCAUGUGAACUUACCACUGUUGCCUCGGCGGAGCCUACCCUGUAGCUACCCUGUAGCGUGAUUACCCUGUAGGGUGGUUACCCUGUAGCGUGGUUACCCUGUAGCGCCCCGCCGGCGGAUUUUCAAACUCUUGUUAUUUUUUAAGUCAUCUGAGAGUCUUAUUUUAAAUAAGUCAAAACUUUCAACAACGGAUCUCUUGGUUCUGGCAUCGAUGAAGAACGCAGCGAAAUGCGAUAAGUAAUGUGAAUUGCAGAAUUCAGUGAAUCAUCGAAUCUUUGAACGCACAUUGCGCCCAUUAGUAUUCUAGUGGGCAUGCCUGUUCGAGCGUCAUUUCAACCCUUAAGCCUAGCUUAGUGUUGGGAAUCUAUGUGUGGCCCAAGCUACCCUGUAGCGUGGUUACCCUGUAGUUCCUGAAAAACAACGGCGGAUUUAUAGUGUCCUCUGAGCGUAGUAAUUUUUUAUCUCGCUUCUGUUUAGGCGCUGCAGACCCGGCCGCUAAACCCCCAAUUUUUCGUGGUUGACCUCGGAUCAGGUAGGAAUACCCGCUGAACUUAAGCAUAUCAAUAAGCGGAGGAAAAGAAACCAACAGGGAUUCCCCUAGUAACGGCGAGUGAAGCGGGAACAGCUCAAAUUUGAAAUCU
This 666-nucleotide ribosomal RNA is filed under the name fungal endophyte. Its description in RNAcentral is "eukaryotic LSU rRNA". The stretch from base 202 to 355 matches the Rfam family "5.8S ribosomal RNA". The record is from RNAcentral. Lineage: Eukaryota; Fungi.